AUGUGGCUGCGGGUCCCCACAGUCCUCAGCACCGCCUCCAAGGGCCGUGCCACCUCCCGUGCCCCCUCCCCUAAAUCACGCAAGCUCUUGACCCCCUUUGACCCCCUUCCCCACAGGUGGAGACCAUCGGGGACGCCUACAUGGUGGCCUCGGGGCUGCCGAAGCGCAACGGCAACCGGCACGCGGGCGAGAUCGCCAACAUGUCGCUGGACAUCCUCAGCUCCGUCGGCACCUUCAAGAUGCGCCACAUGCCCGAGGUGCCCGUGCGCAUCCGCAUCGGCCUGCACUCGGGUAAGGCCACGCCCACUUCCGGCCACACCCAUCUUGACCACGCCCACUUCCGGCCACGCCCACGUUGGACGCACCUCCACCGUGGACACCCCCCCCCCUCUUGGCCGCGCCCCGUGGAGGUGCCGCACCCAUCGGCCAACCUCAACAUGGCCACAGACCCGUGUCAGCGCCCACUUCCGGUCACACCCACCCCGACACGCCCACUUCCGGCCAUAUGCACGUUGGCCACGCCCCCCUCCACAUCCACGCCCCAAGGAGCUGCCGCGCCAUUGGCCAACCUCAACACAGCCACGAGUCAACGGCCACGCCCACCGCGUCGUGGCCACGCCCACUUCCGGUCACGCCCACUUCCGGACACACCCACUUCCGGACACACCCACCCCAAGAAGCCGCUACGCCAUUGGCCAACCGCAACGCGGCCCCAAUCCCGUGGCCGCACCCACUCCUCCGCGGCCACGCCCGCUCGUGACCGCGCCCCCCGACGUGACCGCGCCCUCUUCGCCCCCGCAGGGCCGUGCGUGGCGGGCGUCGUGGGGCUCACCAUGCCGCGCUACUGCCUCUUCGGGGACACCGUCAACACCGCCUCGCGCAUGGAGUCCACCGGGCUGCGUGAGUCCCCCGCGCGCGCGGCCGCCAUGCGUGUCCCCGUGUGUGGCCUCCGUGUGCCCCCACGUGUGCCCUCCAUCUGCCCCCACGCGUGUCUCCNGGUGUGUGUGGGGGGGGGUGGAGAACGUGGGUGCUAUAGAAGGGGCAUCUGGGAUCUAUGAUGGGGGGAGGCCUGAGUGCUAUGGGGUGAGGGAGACGCUGAUGGGGGGGGCACCCGGUUUCUAUGGGGCAGCCUUGGUGUCCCAGGUGGGGGGGCACUGGGUCCUACAGGAAGGGGUGAGGGGAACAUGUGGGAUGUGA
Molecule: long non-coding RNA, 1197 nt
Filed under: Pavo cristatus (Indian peafowl)
Lineage: Eukaryota; Metazoa; Chordata; Aves; Galliformes; Phasianidae
Description: lncRNA (ENSPSTG00000016316.1)
Source: RNAcentral